This 253-nucleotide ribosomal RNA is filed under the name uncultured bacterium. RNAcentral's name for it is "partial 16S ribosomal RNA". It matches the Rfam family "Bacterial small subunit ribosomal RNA", at positions 524 to 776 of the family's 1533-position model. The record is from RNAcentral.
UACGUAGGCAACGAGCGUUGUUCGGAGUUACUGGGCGUAAAGAGUGCGUAGGCGGUUUUCUAAGUUUGGUGUGAAAUCUCCCGGCUUAACUGGGAGGGUGCGCCGAAGACUGGAAGGCUUGAGUAUGGGAGAGGUAAGCGGAAUUCCUGGUGUAGCGGUGAAAUGCGUAGAUAUCAGGAGGAACACCUGCGGUGUAGACGGCUUACUGGACCAUCACUGACGCUGAGGCACGAAAGCGUGGGUAGCAAACAGG